AACGCACCUUGCACCCUUUGGUAUUCCGAAGGGUACACCCGUUUGAGUGUCAUUGUAAUCUCACUCCACCACCAGCUUUUUGUUGAUGGAUGUGGACCUGGACUUUGUUGUGUUACUACAACUGGUCUGAAAUGGAUGAGUGCACCCUGCUGUUGCAGCGUCUUCAGUGUGAUAAGCAUCUUCACUGGAUCAAGUUCCUUCCGGACACGCAUGCAUUGUGGGCUCUGUGCUGGCAAACUGUCUUUGGACAAUCUUGACAAUUUGACCUCAGAUCGGGUGGGACUACCCGCUGAACUUAA
RNAcentral lists this unclassified non-coding RNA (299 nucleotides) under uncultured fungus. Its description in RNAcentral is "sequence contains ITS2". The record is from RNAcentral. Lineage: Eukaryota; Fungi.